RNAcentral lists this non-coding RNA (30 nucleotides) under Rattus norvegicus (Norway rat). The record is from RNAcentral. Lineage: Eukaryota; Metazoa; Chordata; Mammalia; Rodentia; Muridae.
UGCUCAUCACUAAAUGCUGGUCCUAUUCCU